AGAUUCAAGGGCAAUCUGGUUGUAGCAUCUGUCACUCCAUUGACUGGCAGGGUUUAUUUGGCUGAUCUGGCUGGCUAGGCAGGUGUCCCUGCCUUUGCUCACUACUCCGUGUGUGACCCUCCUGAAGCUGGGCACUUGGUCGAACAGUACAACCUUCCUAAAUAGUGGAGGACCGUUCUUCAAUCAAGGGCAUAUGAGCAACUGAACUCCCCUGGUAGAACCUCCAAACAAUCUCUCAGUAGCCUAACACCAAAACAAAACAAAUGCAUUUAGCUAAUCUACACUUUUUUUUUGU
Molecule: small nuclear RNA, 295 nt
Filed under: Jaculus jaculus (lesser Egyptian jerboa)
Lineage: Eukaryota; Metazoa; Chordata; Mammalia; Rodentia; Dipodidae
Description: 7SK RNA (ENSJJAG00000002870.1)
Rfam family: 7SK RNA
About the family: 7SK was discovered as an abundant small nuclear RNA in the mid-70s but a possible function has only recently been suggested. Two independent studies have found that 7SK RNA binds the CDK9/cyclin T complex (known as elongation factor P-TEFb). P-TEFb activates transcription by phosphorylating the C-terminal domain of RNA polymerase II.
Source: RNAcentral